UGGUAGGGUAAAGGCCUACCAAGGCGACGAUCAUUAGCUGGUCUGAGAGGACGACCAGCCACACUGGGACUGAGACACGGCCCAUACUCCUACGGGAGGCAGCAGUGGGGAAUUUUGGACAAUGGGCGCAAGCCUGAUCCACCAAUGCCGCGUGAGUGAAGAAGGCCUUCGGGUUGUAAAGCUCUUUUGUCAGGGAAGAAACGGCUGAGGAUAAUACCUUCGGCUAAUGACGGUACCUGAAGAAUAAGCACCGGCUAACUACGUGCCAGCAGCCGCGGUAAUACGUAGGGUGCAAGCGUUAAUCGGAAUUACUGGGCGUAAAGCGUGCGCAGGCGGUUUUGUAAGUCUGACGUGAAAGCCCCGGGCUCAACCUGGGAAUUGCGUUGGAGACUGCAAGGCUUGAAUCUGGCAGAGGGGGGUAGAAUUCCACGUGUAGCAGUGAAAUGCGUACAGAUGUGGAGGAACACCGAUGGCGAAGGCAGCCCCCUGGGUCAAGA
Molecule: ribosomal RNA, 497 nt
Filed under: uncultured Oxalobacteraceae bacterium
Lineage: Bacteria; Pseudomonadati; Pseudomonadota; Betaproteobacteria; Burkholderiales; Oxalobacteraceae
Description: bacterial SSU rRNA
Rfam family: Bacterial small subunit ribosomal RNA
Source: RNAcentral